This 410-nucleotide ribosomal RNA is filed under the name uncultured bacterium. RNAcentral's name for it is "bacterial SSU rRNA". It matches the Rfam family "Bacterial small subunit ribosomal RNA", at positions 355 to 776 of the family's 1533-position model. The record is from RNAcentral.
UGGGGAAUAUUGCACAAUGGGCGAAAGCCUGAUGCAGCGACGCCGCGUGCGGGAUGAAGGCCUUCGGGUUGUAAACCGCUUUCAGCAGGGAUGAGGCCGCAAGGUGACAGUACCUGCAGAAGAAGCUCCGGCUAACUACGUGCCAGCAGCCGCGGUAAUACGUAGGGAGCAAGCGUUAUCCGGAUUCAUUGGGCGUAAAGCGCGCGUAGGCGGCCUGUUAGGUCGGGAGUUAAAUCCGGGGGCUCAACCCCCGUCCGCUUCCGAUACCGGCAGGCUUGAGUUUGGUAGGGGAAGGUGGAAUUCCCAGUGUAGCGGUGGAAUGCGCAGAUAUUGGGAAGAACACCGAUGGCGAAGGCAGCCUUCUGGGCCAUAACUGACGCUGAGGCGCGAAAGCUAGGGGAGCGAACAGG